GACGAACGCUGGCGGCGUGCCUAAUACAUGCAAGUCGAACGCUUCUUUUUCACCGAACUUCGGUUCAUCGAAAAAGAGGAGUGGCGAACGGGUGAGUAACACGUGGGUAACCUGCCCAUCAGAAGGGGAUAACACUUGGAAACAGGUGCUAAUACCGUAUAAUGCUUUUUCUCGCAUGAGAGCAAGCUGAAAGGCGCUUUUGCGUCACUGAUGGAUGGACCCGCGGUGCAUUAGCUAGUUGGUGAGGUAACGGCUCACCAAGGCCACGAUGCAUAGCCGACCUGAGAGGGUGAUCGGCCACACUGGGACUGAGACACGGCCCAGACUCCUACGGGAGGCAGCAGUAGGGAAUCUUCGGCAAUGGACGAAAGUCUGACCGAGCAAACGCCGCGUGAGUGAAGAAAGGUUUUUCGGAUCGUAAAAACU
This 426-nucleotide ribosomal RNA is filed under the name Enterococcus sp. oral taxon A43. RNAcentral describes it as "bacterial SSU rRNA". It matches the Rfam family "Bacterial small subunit ribosomal RNA", at positions 28 to 432 of the family's 1533-position model. The record is from RNAcentral. Lineage: Bacteria; Bacillati; Bacillota; Bacilli; Lactobacillales; Enterococcaceae.